This 253-nucleotide ribosomal RNA is filed under the name uncultured bacterium. RNAcentral's name for it is "partial 16S ribosomal RNA". It matches the Rfam family "Bacterial small subunit ribosomal RNA", at positions 524 to 776 of the family's 1533-position model. The record is from RNAcentral.
AACGUAGGAGACAAACGUUAUCCGGAGUUACUGGGCGUAAAGGGCGUGUAGGUGGUUUCGUAAGUCUGGCGUGAAAUUUCCCGGCUUAACCGGGAGUGGUCGUCGGAUACUGCGGGACUAGAGGACGGUAGAGGCGUGUGGAAUUUCGGGUGUAGUGGUGAAAUGCGUAGAGAUCCGGAGGAACACCAGUGGCGAAGGCGACACGCUGGGCCGUACCUGACACUGAUGCGCGACAGCAUGGGGAGCAAACAGG